Molecule: ribosomal RNA, 371 nt
Filed under: uncultured eukaryote
Lineage: Eukaryota
Description: partial 18S ribosomal RNA
Rfam family: Eukaryotic small subunit ribosomal RNA
Source: RNAcentral
CAAUAGCGUAUAUUAAAGUUGUUGCAGUUAAAAAGCUCGUAGUUGAAUUUCUGUACAUUCCCGGCGCCGGCUUCUGUCGAGUCGUGUUGAGUGUGCAUCCGCUUACAAACUUAGACCGGCAUUCACUUGUCGACUAAGGGAGUAGGCCCUUUACUUUGAAAAAAUUAGAGUGUUUCAAGCAGGCAAUGGUUUGAAUACAUUAGCAUGGAAUAAUGGAAUAGGACUUGUGUCCAUUUGGUUGGUUAUUGGAUAUCGAGUAAUGAUUAACAGGGACAGUUGGGGGCAUUAGUACUUAACAGUCAGAAGUGAAAUUCUAUGAUUUGUUAAAGACUAACUUAUGCGAAANCANNNGCCAAGGAUGUUUUCAUNAA